UGGGACAGAAGGUGAUGUGGUAGGUGGUGGCGCCGGCGCAGGUGAAGGUGGAGCUGGCGUCGUCGUAGGCGUAGCUGUAGGCGGACGGGCAGGCGGUCUUGAAUACCCGCGAGUAGUUCGUGGGGCCGCACGCCGUCGGCGUGCCGUAGUCGCCAGUGCAGCAGUAGCGCGCGCUGCCGUAGGCGUUGCACGCGCUCUUGCAGGCCACCACCUCGCCGGAGCCGGACACCACGCGCAGGUCCGACGGGCACACAGCGUUCACGUCGCCCGCGCACGCCGCGGCGCGGCAGGCACCGCCGUCCCCAUUGUUGUCGGGCGCGAUGGAGAGGGGCAGGUUGAAGCCGUCGACGAGGCUGGCGUCGUAGAAGUCCAGGCCUCCUCCGCCCGGAGCGGCGAGGGUGACCUCGGCGAGCGUGACGGGCGGGGCGGGCCCGCGGCCGGCGCAGGCGACACCGCCGGUGCCACAGUCGGCGGUGGCGCAGGCGAGGCGGCCAGUGGAGGAGUCGACGGCGCAGCCGGUGCGGGCCCAGAAGUUGCCGGACCAGGCGCCGGAUGACGGGGC
RNAcentral lists this long non-coding RNA (562 nucleotides) under Hordeum vulgare. Its description in RNAcentral is "long non-coding RNA (HVUL_LNC013659)". Lineage: Eukaryota; Viridiplantae; Streptophyta; Magnoliopsida; Poales; Poaceae. The record is from RNAcentral.